Molecule: ribosomal RNA, 124 nt
Filed under: Echinops telfairi (small Madagascar hedgehog)
Lineage: Eukaryota; Metazoa; Chordata; Mammalia; Afrosoricida; Tenrecidae
Source: RNAcentral
GUCUACGGCCAUACCAGCCUGAACGCACCCGAUCUUGUCUGAUCUCAGAAGCCAAGCAGGGUUGGGCCUGGUUAGUACUUGGAUGGGAGAGAUAAGUCAAGCGGAGAUAGGGAAGCUGGUGAAU